RNAcentral lists this transfer RNA (62 nucleotides) under Amblyomma testudinarium. Its description in RNAcentral is "tRNA-Gly". The record is from RNAcentral. Lineage: Eukaryota; Metazoa; Arthropoda; Arachnida; Ixodida; Ixodidae.
GCUUUAUUAGUAUAAUAAGUACAUUUAAUUUCCAAUUAAAAAGUUUUUUUUUAAAUAAAGCA